This 497-nucleotide ribosomal RNA is filed under the name uncultured bacterium. RNAcentral describes it as "partial 16S ribosomal RNA". It matches the Rfam family "Bacterial small subunit ribosomal RNA", at positions 28 to 507 of the family's 1533-position model. The record is from RNAcentral.
GAUGAACGCUGGCGGCGUGCCUAAUACAUGCAAGUCGAGCGAAAAGACGAGGAGUUUGCUCCUCUGACGUUUGCGGCGGACGGGUGAGUAACAUGUGGAUAACCUACCUAUAAGACUGGGAUAACUUCGGGAAACCGGAGCUAACACCGGAUAAUAUAUUGAACCGCAUGGUUCAAUAGUGAAAGACGGUUUUGCUGUCACUUAUAGAUGGAUCCGCGCCGUAUUAGCUAGUUGGUAAGGUAACGGCUUACCAAGGCAACGAUGCGUAGCCGACCUGAGAGGGCGAUCGGCCACACUGGAACUGAGACACGGUCCAGACUCCUACGGGAGGCAGCAGUAGGGAAUCUUCGGCAAUGGGCGAAAGCCUGACGGAGCAACGCCGCGUGAGUGAUGAAGGUCUUCGGAUCGUAAAGCUCUGUUAUUAGGGAAGAACAAAUUUGUAAGUAACUGUGCACGUCUUGACGGUACCUAAUCAGAAAGCCACGGCUAACUACGUG